Molecule: transfer RNA, 73 nt
Filed under: Fasciola hepatica (liver fluke)
Lineage: Eukaryota; Metazoa; Platyhelminthes; Trematoda; Plagiorchiida; Fasciolidae
Rfam family: tRNA
About the family: Transfer RNA (tRNA) molecules are approximately 80 nucleotides in length. Their secondary structure includes four short double-helical elements and three loops (D, anti-codon, and T loops). Further hydrogen bonds mediate the characteristic L-shaped molecular structure. tRNAs have two regions of fundamental functional importance: the anti-codon, which is responsible for specific mRNA codon recognition, and the 3' end, to which the tRNAs corresponding amino acid is attached (by aminoacyl-tRNA synthetases). tRNAs cope with the degeneracy of the genetic code in two manners: having more than one tRNA (with a specific anti-codon) for a particular amino acid; and 'wobble' base-pairing, i.e. permitting non-standard base-pairing at the 3rd anti-codon position.
Source: Rfam by way of RNAcentral
ACCGCGACAGCACAGCUGGCUGAGCAUCUGCCCGGUAAGCAGAAGGUCGCCGGUUCGAUUCUGGCUCGUGGCG